Molecule: ribosomal RNA, 229 nt
Filed under: uncultured bacterium
Lineage: Bacteria
Description: partial 16S ribosomal RNA
Rfam family: Bacterial small subunit ribosomal RNA
Source: RNAcentral
UGCGUAGGCGGGCUAAUAAGUCAGUGGUGAAAUCUUCCGGCUCAACCGGGAACCUGCCAUUGAUACUGUUAGUCUUGAGUUCGGUUGAGGUAGGCGGAAUGUGUAAUGUAGCGGUGAAAUGCUUAGAUAUUACACAGAACACCAAUUGCGUAGGCAGCUUACUAGACCGACACUGACGCUGAGGCACGAAAGCGUGGGGAGCAAACAGGAUUAGAUACCCUGGUAGUCC